This 907-nucleotide long non-coding RNA is filed under the name Rattus norvegicus (Norway rat). RNAcentral's name for it is "long non-coding RNA NONRATT011294". The record is from RNAcentral. Lineage: Eukaryota; Metazoa; Chordata; Mammalia; Rodentia; Muridae.
CAUUCUCCAGUCAGUCUUUUCCGGACUCGGCCAUCAGCGGGAGGCGGGACGAGCCGGAGACCGCGUCCUCUACCGAGCAGGAUCAGUCUUCAACUGGCCAAUUUUGCCAUUUGGCAAAGAGAAAAAUCACUGGGCAAGUUACUGCCUUGCAGUUCAAGACCCAUGCUUAACUAGAUUUCUCAUGCAGCCCAGGCCCUCCAGCACUGGUUAAUAGUCAUCUUCAUUCGUCCCUCGAAGACGUGCCCACAGACCAGCCCAACAAAAUCCCAUGUUACCACUAUGAGAAGGAUUUUCUUUCCAAAGCGGUACGUCCUUAAGCAAGUGAUUCGGAGUAGCAGACAAAGCAGAAAACAGUGAAAGCCGUGUGCGGGACUCUGACAGGGAGACUUCUUUAUGGCUGCCCUGUGGGUGACACAGCAGAUGCUAGAAUUCCAAACCGCCCCAAAUAAAAACUGAAGAAUAUCGGCUAGGAAGCUGCCCUGCGUUCGGGAGCCUCAGGACCAUCGCGGCUGUCCUAGAGGGCUGACCUGCAAUGCUAUGUAUGUAAGAAGACUCGAGCAAAGCAUCAUCAAAUAUAUCGCAGAAUUGUGUCCAAAUUUCAGCCCAGUUCCUGCGGCGCAGGGUAGGUGCCUGACUAGCAAGGCAGUGACGCACUGCAGGCUUCCUGCAUGCCGCGUUAGAACACUGAGGCAAACACCGAGUCUGUUUUGGAAAUGUUCUGAAGCCAGUCUAUUAACACAGCGAGCCGUUUGAAACGCAGCGCUACGUGUUUGGAGAGAAACACACGGGCUUUUAUUAGGGACAUGAAACAAACUCUUUGAGCCCCAGCAUCGCUGCGGGCGAGUGUAAUUGCCAGGAUUAAUAAAUCACAGCUGCGAAAGGCUGUCCUUGGCAACCUUCCUUAUUC